AAACUCGGACUACAAUAAGCAU
Molecule: small RNA, 22 nt
Filed under: Arabidopsis thaliana (thale cress)
Lineage: Eukaryota; Viridiplantae; Streptophyta; Magnoliopsida; Brassicales; Brassicaceae
Description: ATSL137450
Source: RNAcentral